CUACACAUGUACAUAUUUAUUUGUGUAACAGGAUUAGGUGAUUGACAGCAGUGUUUGCCUAUCAGUGAAUAGUACCUCCUAUUUAAAGGCCGAUUGGCUGUUACCUGGGAUGCGUCACGUCCGUUUUCCCCCUUUGUUUUGGCUGUGUUGACGGUGGCUGUGGAGUGCAGUUUUUAUGGUCCGGUGCUGCUUUCCUUUUUGUGCUGCUUAGUGGGUUUGAUGACUGUUUGCCUCUCAGCGGUGGGUAUGACUGUAACAAGCCCGUGCCUAUGAAGCAUUUUGUUCGGCGUGAUAUCCUGAUGGAUUCUCCCUCUCGUUCUAUGCUGUGAUUUGUUUGCUGCCGUGAUCGUUUUAUGCCGUGAUUGUUUGCUGCCGUGAGCUCUUGCUGCUGUCUUCGCGCUGUUAAAAGAGCGGCUGUCCAUACAGCCGCGCCGACGAAGUCAUCAACGUUUAUUAAAGGGGACUGCUGGUUUGAUUCUAUUACGUGCCUUUCUAGUGCCCUGCUUCAUGUUUUGGUUUAUUUCAUUAUUAGUUACCAUGGUUAAAUCAUUUAACCUUUUUCUUUUUCUUUAAGUUUGUGGAUAUUUGUUUGAUUGUAUUGCUUUGAUUUUUCUUUUUUUGUGAAACUAUAAUCUGUCGACAUGUGCAUGUUUAAUCUAUGAAUGCAAUUCAAAUCGUAUGGUGAUUUACUGUAUAGAAGUUGGUGUUUGUAACAAUUUCAGGUGAUUAACUAUCUGAUUUUCUGGUUACAUUGUUGCUUCUCCUCACUUCUGUUGGUUGAUACCACUUAUGUGAGGAGUUGCUGCAUUGAUGUUCAUAUUGCCAUUUCUGUCCAGUUUAUUUUCAAAGUUAUUUAUUUUCUUUUUGAUUUAUUGCAGGAGCUGGGGUCCCACGGGUGGUUUGCUCUCCCUCCUUGUGGUGGUGGUUCUCCUUCAUCGUGUGCGGUGUACACCUUGAGUGUUUGAUAGUGUGAUUAGAGUGCACGGGUGUGUGUGCGCGUGGAAGUGUGCUCUUGUGAAACCAAACUCUGCAUUGAUCCCAGCCGUUGGGAGCCUCAGCCCCUGCUGGUAUUACUGUUUUUGUUUUACAUAUACAUACACAUAUACAAAUACAUACUACCUCAAGUUGGUUUUGUUAUCUUUUUCUCUUUUUGUAAUUUGUGUUCUUGUGUUUGAAGUGGGGUUUCAUGUAUUUUUCUGUGAUUCAUUGUUUUGUAUUUUAAUUAACUUUUGUAUUAAUAAACAUUUUGUAUUUUUUUUAUACUUGCGUCUCUGGCCUAAUUUUGAGGGAACCGAACCUGUGUGCUCUAUUAUCCAAUUUGAUUGGUUUGAGUAUUUUCCCUGGGGUUAAUCCUUAGGGUGGCGUAGUCUGACUUUAUUUCUGGUGAACAAAACCUUGGGCUUGUGUCUCAAAAUUACACCGCCCCGCCACAUUCUGGCGUAGU
This is a long non-coding RNA of Megalobrama amblycephala (Wuchang bream), 1444 nucleotides long. RefSeq lists it as uncharacterized. The record is from RefSeq and is a predicted model, not a curated record. NCBI's taxonomy places the organism in Eukaryota, Metazoa, Chordata, Actinopteri, Cypriniformes, Xenocyprididae. The transcript is spliced from 4 exons.